RNAcentral lists this ribosomal RNA (346 nucleotides) under uncultured bacterium. Its description in RNAcentral is "bacterial SSU rRNA". It matches the Rfam family "Bacterial small subunit ribosomal RNA", at positions 28 to 379 of the family's 1533-position model. The record is from RNAcentral.
GAUGAACGCUAGCGGGAGGCCUAAUACAUGCAAGUCGAGCGGUAGAGUGACUUCGGUUGCUUGAGAGCGGCGCACGGGUGAGUAACGCGGUACAUGACCUACCUUUAAGACUGGGAUAGCCCUGGGAAACUGGGAUUAAUACCGGAUGUGAUAAUACGUAUAGAGAUGUAUUAUUAAAGUUGAGGCGCUUAGAGAUGGAUGUGCGUCUGAUUAGCUAGUUGGUAGGUAACGGCCUACCAAGGCUACGAUCAGUAGGGGGCUGAGAGCGUGGCCCCCCCANACGGGUACUGAGACACGGACCCGAUCCUACGGGAGGCAGCAGUAAGGAAUAUUGGCAAUGGACGAA